RNAcentral lists this ribosomal RNA (258 nucleotides) under uncultured bacterium. Its description in RNAcentral is "partial small subunit ribosomal RNA". It matches the Rfam family "Bacterial small subunit ribosomal RNA", at positions 26 to 285 of the family's 1533-position model. The record is from RNAcentral.
AGGAUGAACGCUGGCGGCGUGCUUAACACAUGCAAGUCGAACGGUAAGGCCCCUUCGGGGGUACACGAGUGGCGAACGGGUGAGUAACACGUGAGCAACCUGCCCUUGACUCUGGAAUAACAGCUGGAAACAGCUGCUAAUACUGGAUACGACCUCCGGCGACAUCGCCUGGAGGUGGAAAGCUCCGGCGGUCAAGGAUGGGCUCGCGGCCUAUCAGCUUGUUGGUGAGGUAACGGCUCACCAAGGCUUCGACGGGUA